This 354-nucleotide ribosomal RNA is filed under the name Axyracrus elegans. RNAcentral's name for it is "partial 16S ribosomal RNA". The record is from RNAcentral. Lineage: Eukaryota; Metazoa; Arthropoda; Arachnida; Araneae; Anyphaenidae.
UUGUGCUAAGGUAGCAUAAUCAUUUGUCUUUUAAUUAAAGACUAGAACAAAAGAUUGAACAUUUUAAUUAAUAUAUUAAAAUUAAUUAAUUUAAUUUAUUUAAAAUGUAAAAAAACAUUUAUAAAUUAGGAAGACGAUAAGACCCUAUUAAACUUAACUAAAGUUAAACUGGGGCAGUUAAUCAAUUAUUACUUUAAUUUCAAUAAUAAAAUAAAUAGAUCCUAUAAAAUAGAUUAAAUGAUCAAGUUACUAUAGGGAUAACAGCGUAAUAUUAAUUUAAAGAUCUUAUUAAAAUAAAAGAUUACGACCUCGAUGUUGAAUUAAUAACCUAUAUUGUUGCAAUAAACAAUUAAA